Molecule: ribosomal RNA, 429 nt
Filed under: Gemmatimonadota bacterium
Lineage: Bacteria; Pseudomonadati; Gemmatimonadota
Description: Gemmatimonadetes bacterium partial 16S ribosomal RNA
Rfam family: Bacterial small subunit ribosomal RNA
Source: RNAcentral
UAGGGAAUCUUCGGCAAUGGACGAAAGUCUGACCGAGCAACGCCGCGUGAGUGAAGAAGGUUUUCGGAUCGUAAAACUCUGUUGUUAGAGAAGAACAGGGACGUUAGUAACUGAACGUCCCCUGACGGUAUCUAACCAGAAAGCCACGGCUAACUACGUGCCAGCAGCCGCGGUAAUACGUAGGUGGCAAGCGUUGUCCGGAUUUAUUGGGCGUAAAGCGAGCGCAGGCGGUUUCUUAAGUCUGAUGUGAAAGCCCCCGGCUCAACCGGGGAGGGUCAUUGGAAACUGGGAGACUUGAGUGCAGAAGAGGAGAGUGGAAUUCCAUGUGUAGCGGUGAAAUGCGUAGAUAUAUGGAGGAACACCAGUGGCGAAGGCGGCUCUCUGGUCUGUAACUGACGCUGAGGCUCGAAAGCGUGGGGAGCAAACAGG